This 1235-nucleotide ribosomal RNA is filed under the name metagenome. RNAcentral describes it as "bacterial LSU rRNA". It matches the Rfam family "Bacterial large subunit ribosomal RNA", at positions 1564 to 2808 of the family's 2925-position model. The record is from RNAcentral.
UGAAUACGAGACGCUACGGCGUCGAAGCAGUCGAUGUCAUACUUCCAAGAAAAGCUUGCAAUGUCAUAAACAAAUAAUGCCUGUACCAUAACCGACACAGGUGGGUAGGUAGAGUAUACUAAGGGGCGCGAGAUAACUCUCUCUAAGGAACUCGGCAAAAUGACUCCGUAACUUCGGGAGAAGGAGUGCCUUAUUUAUAAGGUUGCAAUAACAAGAUCCAAGCAACUGUUUAUCAAAAACACAGGUCUCCGCUAAGUCGUAAGACGAUGUAUGGGGGCUGACGCCUGCCCAGUGCCAGAAGGUUAAAGAAGUUGGUUAGCAUCCGCGAAGCUGAUAACUGAAGCCCUGGUGAACGGCGGCCGUAACAAUAACGGUCCUAAGGUAGCGAAAUUCCUUGUCGGGUAAGUUCCGACCCGCACGAAAGGCGUAAUGAUUUGGAUACUGUCUCGGAGAGGGACUCGGUGAAAUAGACUUGUCUGUGAAGAUGCGGACUACCUGCACCUGGACAGAAAGACCCUAUGAAGCUUUACUGUAACUUGAAAUUGAAAUUGGACUUUAUUUGCGCAGUAUAGGUGGGAGGCGUUGAGAAUAUUCUUGCGGGAAUAUUGGAGCCAUCAGUGAGAUACCACUCUUGUAAUGUUAGAUUUCUAACUUUGCAUCAUUAUCUGGUCAAAGAACAGUUUCAGGCGGGCAGUUUGACUGGGGCGGUCGCCUCCCAAACGGUAACGGAGGCGUACAAAGGUUUCCUCUGAACGGGUAGAAAUCGUAUCUAGAGUGUAAAGGCAUAAGGAAGCUUGACUGUGAGACCCACAAGUCGAGCAGGGACGAAAGUCGGUCUUAGUGAUCUGACGGUGCUGAGUGGAAAGGCCGUCACUCAACGGAUAAAAGUUACUCUAAGGAUAACAGGCUGAUCUCCCCCAAGAGUUCACAUCGACGGGGAGGUUUGGCACCUCGAUGUCGGCUCAUCGCAUCCUGGGGCGGUAGUACGUCCCAAGGGUUGGGCUGUUCGUCCAUGAAAGCGGUACGCGAGCUGGGUUCAGAACGUCGUGAGACAGUUCGGUCCAUAUCCGGUGUAGGCGUUAGAAUAUUGAGAGGAGCCUUCUUUAGUACGAGAGGACCGAGAAGGACAUACCUCUGGUGUACCAGUUAUCGUGCCAACGGUAAACGCUGGGUAGCUAUGUAUGGAGAGGAUAACCGCUGAAAGCAUCUAAGUGGGAAGCCCACCUCAAGAUAAG